CAUUAUCACUAAAUAACUGACAUUUUACUAGCAGAGUUAUGAGCACCUACAUCACUGGAAUUCUUUCCUCUUACUCUUUUUUCUUAAUACCACUGACCAACUAGUGGAAGAACUCCUCUUCUUUGUGAAGCCUAUGAGAAGAUGCCUUCACAUGGCAGAGAAAUUAGAGAACGUUUCCUCCUGCAAGCAGCAUAACUACAUGGACAAUGGGUUUCUCUCCCAGAGGUUUCUUCAUGCAAAGAAAACUGUGAAUACAUUUCUUGUUUGUGGCCAUGACUUCUAUAUUCAAGUACUUCCAAAGAUCCUCCCAGUUGCUGAGGACCAUUCUGCACUCCUGCAUUAAUAGCCCUCAGGCUGACCUGGGUCUGUGGCUGUUUUCCUGGCCAGUGCCUGUGAUUUGAAUGAUUGGCAAGCUCUGUAACUGAGUUCUUGGGAAAACAAAUGAUCUCAUAGAUGGAGCUGCUCCACGUUAGGAAGUGCAAGAAUUAUGAAAUGCAGUCACAGCAGGGAAAGAAGUUUUUUUGCAUUUGGAUGGCGACCUUUUGUUUCUAAGGUACCAUAGGGUGGAUGUGGCUAAUAAAUGCCUCUACUGUGGUUCUGGGGAAAAAUUC
Molecule: long non-coding RNA, 611 nt
Filed under: Vulpes vulpes (red fox)
Lineage: Eukaryota; Metazoa; Chordata; Mammalia; Carnivora; Canidae
Description: lncRNA (ENSVVUG00000019692.1)
Source: RNAcentral